Molecule: long non-coding RNA, 669 nt
Organism: Coregonus clupeaformis (lake whitefish)
Lineage: Eukaryota; Metazoa; Chordata; Actinopteri; Salmoniformes; Salmonidae
Exons: 5
Source: RefSeq, a predicted model, not a curated record
CGCGCUUUCGUUUUCUGCUGCUGAGGAAAACCGUUGAAAUGUCUAAGAAAAAAAACUAAAGGAAUGGAAGGACAGGCGACGGAAGACAUAUUAAUCGUAAGGGGCAAGAAAAAACUAGGAAAGCUUGUCCAAAAGAGGGAAGAAUGUGUACCGAUAAGUGCUGAAGGGAUUGUGGAAAGUUGACGGAGGAGUGUAAAUUGCAGCUUCUCAGCGGAUUCUACACAGUCCCAUACGAGAAGCAGCAAGUUUGGAUUCUCUCAUACUUGGAGCAGCACAAAGUGAAGUGAAAAAGGCAGCAUUAGGACCAGCCUAAAAGAAAACAAAGUUUUCAAUACACCUUACAACAGGGAGGCCAGAGGCUGACUGUCUGCAAGAAGACAUUCAUACCAGUAUAUCAACUGACAAACAGCCGUCUACAGGUUAUUCAGGAAAAGUUAGGCAUACUUGGACGUCACACAGAGUCAGGACAAGGCCACACCGCAUACAUCUCACUGUGAGAGAGGACAUCAAAGAACAUAUUCUGUCCUUUCCACAACUGUCGAACCAUUAUUCUAGGAAGAGGGGGGAUGCGGACUGAGAGUACCUCAGUCCAGAUCUUAAUCUGCUCCACCUGUGGACAGGCUCUACAAAGAGAAGAACCCUCAGAAAUGAUUAAAUAUUAAAGCAUUA